AACGAACGCUGGCGGCGUGGAUAAGACAUGCAAGUCGAACGCUAAUUGCGGAGUAGCAAUAUUUCGUAGUUGGAGUGGCGCAAGGGUGCGUAACACGUGGGUAAUUUGCCGUGAAGCUCGGAAUAACUCGCUGAAAGGCGAGCUAAUACCGGAUGUGAUAUUUGGGAGGCAUCUCCUAAAUCUUAAAGCUGGGGAUCGUAAGGCCUGGCACUUCACGAUAAGCCCGCGGCCUAUCAGCUAGUUGGUGAGGUAACGGCUCACCAAGGCUAAGACGGGUAGCUGGUCUGAGAGGACGACCAGUCACACUGGAACUGAGACACGGUCCAGACACCUACGGGUGGCAGCAGUCGAGAAUUUUUCUCAAUGGGCGAAAGCCUGAAGGAGCGACGCCGCGUGGGGGAUGAAUGGCUUCGGCCCGUAAACCCCUGUCAUUUGCGAACAAACCUUUCGUGUUAACAGCACGGGAGCUGAUUGUAGCAGAAGAGGAAGGGACGGCUAACUCUGUGCCAG
This 510-nucleotide ribosomal RNA is filed under the name uncultured bacterium. RNAcentral's name for it is "bacterial SSU rRNA". It matches the Rfam family "Bacterial small subunit ribosomal RNA", at positions 29 to 511 of the family's 1533-position model. The record is from RNAcentral.